UAAUUGGGCGAGGUUGGGCUAUAUGGACUUGAAGGAGACAACCGUGGACUACUGGGUAAGUACGCCUGUGAUGGGCUGUAUUUAGCUGAUUGAGGAUUAUAACUAGGUGAGGUUGGACUAUAGCUAGGAGAAGUGGGGCUAUAGCUCGGUGACGUGGGACUAUAGCCAGGGGAGGUGGGGCUAUAUGCUGGAGAGGUGGGGCUGUACGAAGGUGAUGUGGGACUGUAAGACGGUGAUGUUGGGCUGUAGGAGGGUGAUGUUGGGCUGUAGGAGGGUGAAGUUGGGCUGUAGGAGGGCGAAGUUGGGCUGUAGGAGGGUGAAGUUGGGCUGUAUGCAGGUGAAGUGGGACUGUAAGCAGGUGAAGUGGGGCUGUAAGCAGGCGAAGUGGGGCUGUAACUUGGGGAAGUGGGGCUGUAACUUGGUGAUGUGGGGCUGUAACUAGGAGAGGUGGGGCUGUAACUUGGAGAGGUUGGGCUGUAACUGGGAGAGGUGGGUGAAUAAGAUGGACUUGUAGGAGAAUAUGCAGGACUAGUUGGGCUAUAGCCCGGCGAACUAGGACUGUAAGUUGGAGAUGUAGGACUGUAGCCUGGAGAGGUAGGGCUGUACCCUGGAGAAGUAGGACUAUAACCAGGAGAUGUGGGACUAUAGCCAGGGGAUGAUGGACUGUAGCCCGGAGAUGAUGGGCUAUAGCCUGGAGAUGACGUAGGAGAGAAUGCCAUGCCUCCUACAUAGGGUGAAAAUUGAGCGUCGCUGAUAGGUG
RNAcentral lists this long non-coding RNA (760 nucleotides) under Cucumis sativus (cucumber). Its description in RNAcentral is "long non-coding RNA (CSAT_LNC000823)". The record is from RNAcentral. Lineage: Eukaryota; Viridiplantae; Streptophyta; Magnoliopsida; Cucurbitales; Cucurbitaceae.